Molecule: ribosomal RNA, 662 nt
Filed under: uncultured bacterium
Lineage: Bacteria
Description: bacterial SSU rRNA
Rfam family: Bacterial small subunit ribosomal RNA
Source: RNAcentral
GAACGGGGAUGGUACAUGCGAGGGAGUAGUUUCUUAAGACCAGACAAGUGCCAUCCUAGUGGCGGACGGGUGAGUAACGCGUGGGCAACCUGCCCUGUACAGGGGGACAACACUUAGAAAUAGGUGCUAAUACCGCAUGAGCGCACAAAGGCGCAUGCCUAUGUGCGGGAAGCCCGCGAGGGCGGUACGGGAUGGGCCCGCGUCUGAUUAGCCAGUUGGCAGGGUAACGGCCUACCAAAGCGACGAUCAGUAGCCGGCCUGAGAGGGUGGACGGCCACAUUGGGACUGAGACACGGCCCAAACUCCUACGGGAGGCAGCAGUGGGGGAUAUUGCACAAUGGGGGAAACCCUGAUGCAGCGACGCCGCGUGAGUGAAGGAGCGUUUCGGCGCGUAAAGCUCUAUCAGCAGGGAAGACAAACUGCCCCGGAAGGGGCAGCCGGACGGUACCUGACCAAGAAGCCCCGGCUAACUACGUGCCAGCAGCCGCGGUAAUGCGUAGGGGGCAAGCGUUAUCCGGAUUUACUGGGUGUAAAGGGAGCGUAGACGGCAAGACAAGCCUGGAGUGAAAGGCGGGGGCCCAACCCCCGGACUGCUCUGGGAACUGUCUGGCUGGAGUGCAGGAGGGGUAACCCGAAUUCCUAGUGUAGCGGUGAAAUGCGUA